Molecule: unclassified non-coding RNA, 253 nt
Filed under: uncultured Caryophanales bacterium
Lineage: Bacteria; Bacillati; Bacillota; Bacilli; Caryophanales
Description: uncultured Bacillales bacterium contains 16S-23S intergenic spacer region
Rfam family: Bacterial small subunit ribosomal RNA
Source: RNAcentral
UACGUAGGGGGCAAGCGUUGUCCGGAUUUACUGGGCGUAAAGCGCGCGCAGGCGGUCUUUUAAGUCUGAUGUGAAAGCCCACGGCUCAACCGUGGAGGGUCAUUGGAAACUGGAAGACUUGAGUACUGAAGAGGAAAGUGGAAUUCCACGUGUAGCGGUGAAAUGCGUAGAGAUGUGGAGGAAUACCAGUGGCGAAGGCGGCUCUCUGGUCUGUAACUGACGCUGAGGCGCGAAAGCGUGGGGAGCAAACAGG